This 209-nucleotide non-coding RNA is filed under the name Bacillus sp. (in: firmicutes). Its description in RNAcentral is "Bacillus sp. T-box sequence". It matches the Rfam family "T-box leader". From Rfam's summary of the family: Uncharged tRNA acts as the effector for transcription antitermination of genes in the T-box leader family. T-boxes are found upstream of many aminoacyl-tRNA synthetase genes and some amino acid biosynthetic genes usually in Gram-positive bacteria. Lineage: Bacteria; Bacillati; Bacillota; Bacilli; Caryophanales; Bacillaceae. The record is from RNAcentral.
UAUGAAGCGAUGAUAAAGAGUAGUACAUAGUGACUUCAUUUUUAGAGAGCCUGCUGCUGCUGGAAUGCAGGCAAUGAAAGCUAUGGAAUGGACUUUUGAGCAGCUGGCCGAACAUUAGUAGGAUCAGCCGUUUCGUCUUGCGUUAAAAGACGUUAAGUGAUUUCUUUUAGAAAUAAUUAGGGUGGCACCGCGGUCCAUUCGUCCCUGUU